This 3292-nucleotide long non-coding RNA is filed under the name Homo sapiens (human). RNAcentral describes it as "HSALNT0296773". The record is from RNAcentral. Lineage: Eukaryota; Metazoa; Chordata; Mammalia; Primates; Hominidae.
UCUUGCUUUACAGUAACUCUCCUCCUGGGGAAAAGGCUUUUCACGGAGCAGGCUCGGAGCCUACGGGGCUGGCCUCGGACUGGAUGGGGGGUUUAUUUUCCCUCACGGCUCUCAACCUUCUCAAAAUAUAAGGUUGGCGGAUUAAUUAUACUGAAAGUCUUCAGUUGGAUAUUUUAUUAUAGUAUUUUUAAAGUCGUGUUUUGUAAUUGCCCUGACAAUGUAAGGAAUGAUAUUUGUGAGGGUGAGUCAACAACACCUUCCCUGUUGGUGUCUGCCCUCUAAUAACCCCACGGGCUGGAUCCCCAGCACCUGGAAGGAAUCAUCAUGGAACGUUAAUAAGGAGGAAGGCUGGUUCUGGCGCCUGGAACACUUCAGAGACAGAAAGCAGUGACUAGGCCAGACAGGCCCGUUGUUUUUGCGCUUUGAGAGAGAAGUGAGAAAUGGAAAGUAGUCUCUUUAUCUUCUCAGCAAAUACAGCCUAUGCUCAGAAUUUCUCCGACUUCCCAUCUCUGAGAUGCCGGAUGCCCAGUUCCACAGAAUCAUGGCAAGCGAGAAACUGUCGUUCAUAAGAGUUCAAGAAAAUGAAUAUUCUCUCAACUCUGUGAGGGCCAGUGGGUUCCAGGCGAGAUGAGACAACUUGGUGAGCGUCGUAACUGAGCUCCCAAUGCAUUUAGAAGCCUCUGGAUGGCCGGGGGGUGCAUUCCAGCUGUGCUGGAAAAAUUAUAUUUUGAAGUUAAAUCUGGUAGUGUUUUUUCCAAUAUGAAUAGGCCUCAGGAAAGAGAUAAUACAUUUCCUUCUUUGUUCAGAGGGUGCUCAACUUGCUGGAGUCAUCUCUGCUAUGGCUUUAUUUGCCAACAACAGAGAACUUGCUCUGCAGCAGCCCCAGGCUCUCUGGGGACCCCACAGGCUAUGCAGAUCCCCCACCCCAGAACCACAGAAGGAGACAGAGCAGAAGCACACCCCGUCUUCCAGGCCCAGGACAGCUGCUGAGCUCCAGGACACGGACUCUUGAAGGUUGAUUUUGACUACUUACUAAGCUCCAGCUGAACCAGUUCCACUUCUUUAACCUUCCCAUGAUCCCUGUGAGGGGUCUGUGGUAUUGCUAUUUGCAAGUAAAGAAAGUGAGAUUGAGGGAGGCUGAAAGACUUGGCCCCAAGUCACAAUGCCCUGCUGAAUGUGGUGCUGCCUCCUGGAUAUCCUGGGUGCUUCAACAUCAACAGCUCUUGGCAAGUGAGUGGGCCACGAAGGAUGGACGAGGGACAUGGGGGAGCAAGCCCAGCUGCACGGUUCCAGCUCUUUCCGCCACAUCACAGCUUCUGCAGUUGGGAAGACUGAACAGUGAUCUUCAGUUUGUUCGUCAAAGGGCCAAGAAAUCUGUGUCCUCACCUUCUCUGCUUCAAUUCUGGUGCUGCUUAAGCCGAUUAUCAUUUCAUGCCCUAAACCAAAAAAUAAACUCUACAAACAUCAACAUUACAUAGGACAGGAUCUGGCCCACAGAUUGGGGGCAGGAGCUGCUUUUUCAAUGAGAAGAAUGAACAGACCUAGUGGGCGUUGCCUUUAGACCCAGGUAAGAGGAAUCCCAGCCUUGGGACAUUACUUUCAAGGGCCAAGCCCAUAGGCCAUCCUUCUAGAACAUUCUUUGGGUAGCUAGGGCUUCAUAAGUCACUUACUGGGUUUGUCCUCCUUGAGUGGACUGUGUUGUCGGUGUGCACACCUGUAUUUCCAUGGAAUGGUAUCUUAGUCCUGCUGCUAUAACAAUACCUGAGACUGAAAAAUGUAUAAACAAUAGACAUUUAUUUCUCACAGUUCUGGAGGCUGGGAAAUCCAAGAUCAAGGCACCAGCUGGUUUGGUGUCUGGCGAGGGCUGCUCUCUGCUUCCAAAAUGGUGCCUUGGGGCUGGGCGUGAUGGCUCAUACCUAUAAUCCCAGCACUUUGGGAGGCCAAGGCGGGCAGAUCACCUGAGGUCAGGAGGUUAAGACCAGCCUGGCCAACAUGGUGAAAACCCCAUCCCUACUAAAAAUACAAAAAAUUAGCCAGGCAUGGUGAUGCAUGCCUGUAAUUCCAGCUACUUGGGAGGCUGAGGCAAGAGAAUUGCUUGAACCCAGGAGGCAGAAUUUGCAGUGAGCCGAGAUUGCACCACUGCACUCCAGCCUGAGUGAUAGAGCGAGACUCUGUCUCAAAAGACAAACAAAAAACCAAAAUGGUGCCUCAUUGCUGGAUCUUCCAAAAGGGAUGAACGUAUGUUCUCGAAUGACAGAAAAGACAGAAGGGCAGAAAGUGUCCAAACUCACUCCAUCAAUCCCUUUUAUAAGGUGCUAAUCACUCCCUAAACACCCCAUCUCUUAUUACUGUUGCACUGGGGAUUCAGUUUCAGCAUGAGUUUUGGAGGGAUACAGACAUUCAAACCACAGCAUUGUGCACACUCCUUUUUCUAUGGAAUGGCCAAGGUGCAGCUAUUUGCAGAGGCUCUGACAGAGCUCCGCUGUGGAGCUGGGGUGUCCACAUGCCUGUAUGGAAGAACUUUCAUGGCACCGGAGCCUGGUGGGAAGAGAAGUGGGCUGGGCUAUAGACUGGGCACCAGGGACUAUCACCUCGUGCCACCACAUUUAGUGUAGAGUUCCAGAGAGGCCACAAAUUCUUCAUUUGAACUGGACUCCCCAGCCUCAUGUUCCUCUGCAGGAUGUAAAAGGUAAUGCCAGCAGACGUUGGCAGUGCUGGAGACACCUGGUGGGCAGAGGUUACCUGGCUGGAGUGGCAGGUGUGAGGAGAUGCCUCCCAGCAUAAGGAAUGUGGGCUUCUGUUGGAUCUCUUGUUCCAGGCCUCACACAUGUUCAAGGCAGCCUGGGUAUGUCUUGGCCCAUUCAAUCCCUCAAAGCCCUGUUUAAUUCUCAUCUUGCUGUCACCUAUGUGGUGCCAAGAAACAAGUCACCAAAAUAAUGAAAUGCCUACCUAAGCUUAAAAACAAAACCAUGAGGUCUUUCUAAAUAAAUUAUGAAAAAGUGCAAACUGCAGGUCCCUGUAAUGAUUUCAAAGACUCCGUUCCAACAAUGCAUUAAUUUAAAAAGGGAGUAUAAGGCAAAGGGGGGUGAUUAGAAGAGGAAGGCAGCUGACAUCAAACUGAAUAUACCAAGUUUCCUCCUCAAAAACGAGUGUGCAUUAUUUGUGGUGACCAUUCUUGGUAUUGUUCUAUUACGUAAAACACAGCAUAGCAUCAUUCUUUUAGAUGCCAUUCAUUUAAUAUAUGGGCAAAUGUACAUGGUUAGGCUAGACUGGAGCACUUGUCUACACUGCU